Molecule: long non-coding RNA, 365 nt
Organism: Pleuronectes platessa (European plaice)
Lineage: Eukaryota; Metazoa; Chordata; Actinopteri; Pleuronectiformes; Pleuronectidae
Exons: 3
Source: RefSeq, a predicted model, not a curated record
UGGACCAAAAACGUAGAUCCAGUUACUUUUCACCCACGGAAUUGGAAAUAUUAAUGCACGCAUAUGCCGAGCAGGUACCCAUUUUCACCAAAAAAAGUAAUACCGCCGCGGCAGCGAGAGCGCGAGAGAGAGCUUGGCAGGAAAUAGCCGAACAAGUCAAUGCGAACAACCCGAGUUGCCCCAAGAGGACUUGGCAGCAAAUGAAAAUGAAGUACAAAAAUAUAGUUCAAACAGCAAAUCGAAAAAAAGCAGAGGCCCGGAAGACUGGAGGGGGUCCACCACCUGCAGCCCUCACAGAGGCUGAGGAGAUGGCCCUCAGCCAACAGAGUAUGCGUCCUGUGGCUGAGGGCAUCCCUGGAGGGAGC